CAUUGGUCCUCCCGCAACACUAACUCGUGAACCCGGUCAGGCCUGGAAGGGAGCAGCCGCAGCGAGCGACGUGUGUGCCGGGAUGUGGCUGGUGGGG
Photobacterium halotolerans is the source of this 97-nucleotide non-coding RNA. It matches the Rfam family "Bacterial small signal recognition particle RNA". Rfam says of the family: The signal recognition particle (SRP) is a universally conserved ribonucleoprotein involved in the co-translational targeting of proteins to membranes. Archaeal SRP consists of a 7S RNA and homologues of the eukaryotic SRP19 and SRP54 proteins. In most bacteria, the SRP consists of a 4.5S RNA and the Ffh protein (a homologue of the eukaryotic SRP54 protein). The record is from Rfam. NCBI's taxonomy places the organism in Bacteria, Pseudomonadati, Pseudomonadota, Gammaproteobacteria, Vibrionales, Vibrionaceae.